CUUUCAUCCAGAGAGGCUGAGGGAACGGCCCGAUGACGCCUCGGCAACCGGUGGAGACCCGCUGCGGUGCCAAUUCCGACCCACAUGGGAAAGAUGAGAG
RNAcentral lists this non-coding RNA (100 nucleotides) under Chloroflexota bacterium. RNAcentral describes it as "Chloroflexi bacterium SAM-I sequence". It matches the Rfam family "SAM riboswitch aptamer (S box leader)". Rfam says of the family: The SAM riboswitch is found upstream of a number of genes which code for proteins involved in methionine or cysteine biosynthesis in Gram-positive bacteria. The record is from RNAcentral. Lineage: Bacteria; Bacillati; Chloroflexota.